UUUCAUGAUGAUGAUCGACUCGAAGCUGCAUACCAUCUUCCACUUCACUAAUCGACACCUCAAGAUGACGGCG
Molecule: transfer RNA, 73 nt
Filed under: Acinetobacter baumannii BJAB07104
Lineage: Bacteria; Pseudomonadati; Pseudomonadota; Gammaproteobacteria; Moraxellales; Moraxellaceae
Description: tRNA-Ala
Source: RNAcentral